This 462-nucleotide ribosomal RNA is filed under the name uncultured bacterium. RNAcentral's name for it is "bacterial SSU rRNA". It matches the Rfam family "Bacterial small subunit ribosomal RNA", at positions 1 to 507 of the family's 1533-position model. The record is from RNAcentral.
CAUGCUAGACGUAGUUUGAUCAUGGCUCAGAACGACGCUGGCGGCAUGCCUAACACAUGCAAGUCGAACGAAGGCUUCGGCCUUAGUGGCGCACGGGUGCGUAACGCGUGGGAACCUGCCCCUCGGUUCGGAAUAACAGUUAGAAAUGACUGCUAAUACCGGAUGAUGACUUCGGUCCAAAGAUUUAUCGCCGAAGGAUGAGCCCGCGUAGGAUUAGGUAGUUGGUAGGGUAAUGGCCUACCAAGCCGACGAUCCUUAGCUGGUCUGAGAGGAUGAUCAGCCACACUGGGACUGAGACACGGCCCAGACUCCUACGGGAGGCAGCAGUGGGGAAUAUUGGACAAUGGGCGAAAGCCUGAUCCAGCAAUGCCGCGUGAGUGAUGAAGGCCUUAGGGUUGUAAAGCUCUUUUACCAGGGAUGAUAAUGACAGUACCUGGAGAAUAAGCUCCGGCUAACUCCGUG